This 1187-nucleotide long non-coding RNA is filed under the name Anas platyrhynchos platyrhynchos (common mallard). Its description in RNAcentral is "lncRNA (ENSAPLG00000023579.1)". Lineage: Eukaryota; Metazoa; Chordata; Aves; Anseriformes; Anatidae. The record is from RNAcentral.
CGAUGAGCUGACAAGCAAAGAGGGACAAGCUUGAGCUGGGAAGGUGGAUCAGGGAGAGGGGUCAGCAGGGCAGCAGCUGCCCUCUGCCCCUUUGCAGAUGUCCCCCACCGAGCAUGCAAAUGAGGAUGAAUUGUCUGAACUAGCCAAACUGUUCAGCAAGAACUUUGAGGACCUCAGCAGAUACACGGAAAUGUGAGGCCACUGAGGAGGGGAUGGGGAUGAGAACAGGGACAGGGUUUGGGGGCAUGGGUGAGUGCAAUGGCUUGUGGGGGCACAGGGAAAUUUGCGAACUAAAAUCCAAGGAGCAAUGCCCUUGCAGAAGGAUUUAGCGCUGAGGCACAGAGAUAGCAGUGUCCCCUCUCUUUCUGGGCCAGAUGGAGUUUCUGUGCCCAGCCGGCAGAGAGGGAGCCUUGGGCAAGGGACCACAGGGUCUCUUGGGGGAACCCAGAGAAAUGACACAGCCUGCCAGCUCCUUCGGGAUAGAGGGAGAGUCCCAGGGUGCUCAGGAGUGCUUGGCUUAGCAUUCCCAUCAUCUUCCUUCUCCUUCUCCUCCUCACACAGGCUUGACUUGAAGUUGCCAGAGGACAGCGGUGAGUUUCUCACUUCUGACACAGAGAGUGAUACCAGCUGCUCUUCAAGAACAUCUCUGGACUCUUGGCGCACCAUCUCCUGCACUACCGUCACGGAGGAUGAAACCAGACAGAUUUCACAGGCAUCUAUCCCCGCUCCUAUUCAGAAAGCAGUCUCACUUCAUGCUCGCCCACCCUGCACUAAAGAAGUGGUGGUCAGAUGCCACAGGGCCAGCAGUGAGAAACAAAAGCAGACUCAGGAGACCCAGGAGACCCUGGACUGCUUCCCCCCAAAAAAGAAAGAGGAGCAGAAACUGGGCCUGCCAGCUGAUGUGGACAAGCCUUCAAAAGACCCUGCCUCUGCUUCAAAAAUAACUAAGCAAGCAGAAAAGCCUACUUUGAAGGUGAUUCCCAUGGUGCGGGAAAUGCCCUGUGUGGACAAGACCGUGGAUGGACAUCUGGAGGGGCCUGAAAUACAAAAGGAGAUAAAAAGAUUCUUCAGGGUACCAAGAAAGUUCCUGGAUUCCAUGAAGAGAUUUUUCAGCUACAUCCAGGGGCAAAAAGACUCUCAGACUCUCAGACUGAGGCUCCACAGAGGAACACCAGGCAGCACCACCC